UGUCAUGGGUUUUGGUCCAUAGGGCGCGGUCUACGGAGGCUCGAGGCCGCGUCGCUUUCACGCUCUCUCUCCUGCUUAUUUUUUCCACCUUGCUUUCGAUCUUUUCUGACAGCACGGCAAUUUCUAGCCCUUUAUAUAUUCUAAAAUAAAUCCAUUCCCUUCUUUGCCGGGGUCCAUUCCUGGCAUUCACACAUGCGCUGCUACGGCCACACGCUUUACUUCACACACACUGGGAAUUUUUCUUUGUUUUCUUCUCAUUUUUAUGGUGCUUUUUUUUGUUGACUAACUGGUCCUAGAUCCUGGACUUUGUCAAUAGAUCUUGCGUAAACACAUCUUUAUGAUAGUUAAGCUAUACAAAUUUUAGGUUAGGACAGUGGUGAGUGGCCAAAAGAAGCACUAGUUUAUUUUGCUUUUGACUGUUGUCGAUCAACAAGUUUUACUAAAACCCUGUUUUUGGUAUUGUUGUACUAUGUAAGUAAACAGUAAACGUCAUUUUAUUUGCCAGGACAUAUAGAAAUAGGAAAACCAAAGAUAUAAAUAUUCUCAAGUGUUAGGAUUUC
Molecule: long non-coding RNA, 560 nt
Filed under: Brachypodium distachyon (stiff brome)
Lineage: Eukaryota; Viridiplantae; Streptophyta; Magnoliopsida; Poales; Poaceae
Description: long non-coding RNA (BDIS_LNC000373)
Source: RNAcentral